AGCGAACGCUGGCGGCGUGGAUAAGGCAUGCAAGUCGCGCGAUCCCCGCAAGGGGAUAGCGGCAAACGGGUGCGUAACGCGUAGGGAAUCUGCCCCAAAGUCUGGGAUAACACGGCGAAAGCCGGGCUAAUACCAGAUAACUCUGCAGUGUGGCAUCACACAGCAGGUAAAGGUGGCCUCGACCGAAAGGUUGCUACCGCUUUUGGAGGACCCUGCGUUCUAUCAGCUAGNGGUAGGGUAAUGGCCUACCAAGGCGACGACGGAUAGCUGGCCUGAGAGGGUGGUCAGCCACACUGGGACUGAGACACUGCCCAGACUCCUACGGGAGGCUGCAGUCGAGAAUCUUUGGCAAUGGGCGAAAGCCUGACCAUGCGACGCCGCGUGCGGGAUGACGGUUUCUCGGAUCGUAAACCGCUGUCAAGAGGGACG
This 429-nucleotide ribosomal RNA is filed under the name uncultured bacterium. Its description in RNAcentral is "bacterial SSU rRNA". It matches the Rfam family "Bacterial small subunit ribosomal RNA", at positions 29 to 447 of the family's 1533-position model. The record is from RNAcentral.